UUUCCCUACGGGGCGCAGCAGUCGGGAAUAUUGCACAAUGGAGGAAACUCUGAUGCAGUGACACCGCGUAUAGGAAGAAGGUUUUCGGAUUGUAAACUAUUUUAGACAGGGAAGAAAAAAGACAGUACCUGUAGAAUAAGCUCCGGCUAAAUACGUGCCAGCAGCCGCGGUAAUACGUAUGGUGCAAGCGUUAUCCGGAUUUACUGGGUGUAAAGGGAGCGCAGGCGGUGCGGCAAGUCUGAUGUGAAAGCCCGGGGCUCAACCCCGGGACUGCAUUGGAAACUACCGAACUAGAGUGUCGGAGG
RNAcentral lists this ribosomal RNA (305 nucleotides) under uncultured bacterium. Its description in RNAcentral is "bacterial SSU rRNA". It matches the Rfam family "Bacterial small subunit ribosomal RNA", at positions 334 to 655 of the family's 1533-position model. The record is from RNAcentral.